GCUGGGCAUGCUGGAGUGUGCCUGCAGUCCCAGACACUUGCAAGGCUGAGGCAGGAGGAUCGCUUAAGCCCAGGAGUUCUGGGCUGUAGUGCACUAUGCCAAUCAGGUGUCCACACUAAGUUUGGCAUCAAUAUGGUGACCUUCUGGAGCGGGAGACACCAGGUUGCCUAAGGAAAUGUAAAUCAGCCCAGGUUGGAAAUGGAGCAUGUCAAAAAAUCCCAUGCUGAUCAGCAGUGGGAUCACUCUGCACUCCAGCCUGGGCAACACAGCAAGACCCUGUCUCU
This 284-nucleotide signal recognition particle RNA is filed under the name Aotus nancymaae (Ma's night monkey). RNAcentral's name for it is "Metazoan signal recognition particle RNA (ENSANAG00000011430.1)". It matches the Rfam family "Metazoan signal recognition particle RNA". From Rfam's summary of the family: The signal recognition particle (SRP) is a universally conserved ribonucleoprotein. It is involved in the co-translational targeting of proteins to membranes. The record is from RNAcentral. Lineage: Eukaryota; Metazoa; Chordata; Mammalia; Primates; Aotidae.